Non-coding RNA from Petromyzon marinus (sea lamprey), 75 nucleotides. The record is from the annotation of a RefSeq genome assembly. Lineage: Eukaryota; Metazoa; Chordata; Hyperoartia; Petromyzontiformes; Petromyzontidae.
GGCCGUUUAGCUCAGCUGGCUAGAGCGUGGUGCUAAUAACGCCAAGGGUCCUGGGUUCGAUCCCCAUACUGGCCA